This 230-nucleotide long non-coding RNA is filed under the name Gossypium raimondii (Peruvian cotton). RNAcentral's name for it is "long non-coding RNA (GRAI_LNC003903)". Lineage: Eukaryota; Viridiplantae; Streptophyta; Magnoliopsida; Malvales; Malvaceae. The record is from RNAcentral.
AAAUUAUCACUUUGGUACCUGUACUAUUUUUAUUAUCAGUUUGACCUUUGUAGUUUAUUUUUUAUUAGUUUGACAUUUGUAUUUUCAUUCCGUUAAUCUUGUUACCAACCUAAAUUUUUGUUAAAAAAAUAAACCAACCAAUAGCACAUUGCCACAUGUAAAACAAUCACUUAAAAAUGUUAAAAGAUACAAAAAAUGAAAAAAAAAAUUAAAAAAAUCCAAAAAAGCCC